Molecule: ribosomal RNA, 203 nt
Filed under: Clostridioides difficile
Lineage: Bacteria; Bacillati; Bacillota; Clostridia; Peptostreptococcales; Peptostreptococcaceae
Description: partial 23S ribosomal RNA
Rfam family: Bacterial large subunit ribosomal RNA
Source: RNAcentral
GAACGGGCCAACGAGUUACGUUAAGUAGCAAGGUUAAGCACUUAAGGUGCGGAGCCGUAGCGAAAGCGAGUUUUAACUGAGCGUUCAGUUACUUGACGUAGACCCGAAACCGGGCGACCUACCCAUGGGCAGGAUGAAGCGAAAGUAAAAUUUCGUGGAGGUCCGAACCCACGAGCGUUGAAAAGCUCGGGGAUGACUUGUGG